RNAcentral lists this ribosomal RNA (425 nucleotides) under uncultured bacterium. RNAcentral's name for it is "bacterial SSU rRNA". It matches the Rfam family "Bacterial small subunit ribosomal RNA", at positions 356 to 773 of the family's 1533-position model. The record is from RNAcentral.
GGGGAAUAUUGGACAAUGGGCGCAAGCCUGAUCCAGCAAUGCCGCGUGUGUGAAGAAGGCCUGCGGGUUGUAAAGCACUUUCAGUGGGGAGGAAGGCCUCGAUAUUAAUACUAUUGAGGAUUGACGUUACCCACAGAAGAAGCACCGGCUAACUCUGUGCCAGCAGCCGCGGUAAUACAGAGGGUGCAAGCGUUAAUCGGAAUUACUGGGCGUAAAGGGUGCGUAGGUGGUUUCUUAAGUCAGAUGUGAAAGCCCCGGGCUCAACCUGGGAAUUGCAUUUGAUACUGAGUAACUUGAGUAUGGUAGAGGGAAGUGGAAUUUCCAGUGUAGCGGUGAAAUGCGUAGAUAUUGGAAGGAACAUCAGUGGCGAAGGCGACUUCCUGGACCAUUACUGACACUGAGGCACGAAAGCGUGGGGAGCGAAC